Long non-coding RNA from Heterocephalus glaber (naked mole-rat), 1898 nucleotides. RefSeq lists it as uncharacterized. The record is from RefSeq and is a predicted model, not a curated record. Lineage: Eukaryota; Metazoa; Chordata; Mammalia; Rodentia; Bathyergidae.
UCUGCCAAUCUUGUGACUCUACUGUGUCACACUUGCCUCUUUCUAGGUCUCAAAAGGGCUGAUAACCAGCUGCUCCUGUCAGGUGGUAGCAUCUAUGCCUUAAAGUUAUAACAAGUUUCAACUGAUUCAUUUUUCUUUCUAAUAGCUAGUCUCUCUGGAUUUCACCUGGAUACGUCCACUCUCGGGCUGUGAUCUCCUGAAUUUCGGUCUCCUUCCAGAGUCCCACAGGGGCAAUUCACCAGAAUUAGAAGAGACAAUUCUUUGGAAAUGCCAGAGAUCACACUGAACUUCCUUUUGGCAGGCUAACAUGUUUCAGCCAGUCACUCUGAGGAAUUAGAUACUAACAGAACCCUUUUGGAAGUCAGGUCACCUGAUAUUAAAUCGUGUCCUCUUUAGUGGGUGUUUCUACUUCUUCCAUGAAGAAACAAGUGCCAACAUCAAUAUGUCCAAUAAGGAUUCUUUUGCUCAGUUCAGAAGGAAAUCAUGAAUCAGUAAAGUAUUGUUCUCAGCUCCUAGUUCCAGUGGCCUUUGGUCCUUACAGUUACACAUCUCAGCAGCUCCGAGCUGUCCUAUCAGCUCUUCAGCAGCUGAGGUUUCCAGGCCCCCUUUGGCAGCUUUUUGGAUUUCUUCCACCAGCUUCUCCUGCCUCUUUGGGAUACUCCACAGAUCCAUUCAAGUCUCCCCUGUUGUCUACCAGUUGCCACAGCCAGUUGGUGCUGGCUGGUGACAGUUACCAUCAGUAGAUGCUGCUAGUCUCUUCUCGUCUCUGUGGCUGGUUGCUGCAUCGCGAUCUUCAUCCGUUGCUGCUGGUCUCUAGCACUCUUCCAGGCUAGCAGCCCGGAGUGUUACCAACUCUUUUCAGUGCAACCUGCUCUGUGCACAUUACCUGCUAAGAAUCAUGAGUAGUUUUAAGGACCACAGGAAUGAGACUUUAUUUGGAAUUGUGUUGCCACACAAACUGGUGGACACUGGAAGGUGCCCUCCUGGACUAAUCCAGGGGCCAUGAGGGAGCACUGCUACAGAAGGGCAGCAGACCACACAUGAUCAGUUUUGUACAUUUCUCAGACCUGCUUGAGAACUUUGUAGACAUGGGGGUGGGGAGGCAAAGGAUAAACAGGAGCCAUCAGGAGUGGCUGCAGGGCGGAGUCAUCUGGGAUUGGUCUGAGUUUCAAGCCUGCUGAGGCCUCAGCAAAUACCUCCUGGAAGAGCUGCAGGGCACUUAGGAGCACUCUGGCGGUUCUGAACUUUAGGACCAGAGGCUGCUUGAUUGACAAUUGUUGCCUCUUCUUGAAGAUAGUGGGGCUGAAAUUGAGACUUUCACCAAUUUUGAGAAUUCUUUAGCAGGAUUAGCCAUGUUCAUCAUAUCCUAUUAGGGUUUAGCAAUUUUGGGGAAAUUCACAAUGAGGCUAGUCCCUGCUCCAUCUUUGCCCUGUCAGGCAUGGUUUCUCAGCUGCCUUUCAAAGAGGGAGCAGCAAUUCCUGGAGCUGGGGAGGACAGCUGUCAUUCAAGCUGUGACUCCUGUGGACCUGGCCAGAGGGUGGCCGCCACAGCAGCCACAGAGGUGGUGGCCUCCUGGAGCUAAUCACCCCAGACCACCCUGGAAUAGGCACCAGGGAAGGCAAGGGGGGAGUGUGACAAGCUGCCAGUUGGAUUAUGCCUCCACCCGGCUGACACAGGGAAAAGAGAGGUGUCGGACCUCAUUUCUUUUUCAUCUCAGAAAUAGUUCAUUUUUAAUUGCCCCUCCAUUUCUUGAUUUUUAGGAAUUAUAACCAAGACCUGACACCCAGCCCUUGAAAAAUGAUGAAAGCAAGAAGAAGAAUACAUGACAGGAGUAAAAUGUGGGUUCUAAAGUAUGAAUCACUUGGGAGUUACGUGGAUAUUAAAAUUUUAUUAGCUCA